ACGCUGGCGGCGUGCCUAAUACAUGCAAGUCGAACGAGUUCUCGUUGAUGAUCGGUGCUUGCACCGAGAUUCAACAUGGAACGAGUGGCGGACGGGUGAGUAACACGUGGGUAACCUGCCCUUAAGUGGGGGAUAACAUUUGGAAACAGAUGCUAAUACCGCAUAGAUCCAAGAACCGCAUGGUUCUUGGCUGAAAGAUGGCGUAAGCUAUCGCUUUUGGAUGGACCCGCGGCGUAUUAGCUAGUUGGUGAGGUAAUGGCUCACCAAGGCGAUGAUACGUAGCCGAACUGAGAGGUUGAUCGGCCACAUUGGGACUGAGACACGGCCCAAACUCCUACGGGAGGCAGCAGUAGGGAAUCUUCCACAAUGGACGCAAGUCUGAUGGAGCAACGCCGCGUGAGUGAAGAAGGCUUUCGGGUCGUAAAACUCUGUUGUUGGAGAAGAAUGGUCGGCAGAGUAACUGUUGUCGGCGUGACGGUAUCCAACCAGAAAGCCACGGCUAACUACGUGCCAGCAGCCGCGGUAAUACGUAGGUGGCAAGCGUUAUCCGGGAUUUAUUGGGCGUAAAGCGAGCGCAGGCGGUUUUUUAAGUCUGAUGUGAAAGCCCUCGGCUUAACCGAGGAAGCGCAUCGGAAACUGGGAAACUUGAGUGCAGAAGAGGACAGUGGAACUCCAUGUGUAGCGGUGAAAUGCGUAGAUAUAUGGAAGAACACCAGUGGCGAAGGCGGCUGUCUGGUCUGUAACUGACGCUGAGGCUCGAAAGCAUGGGUAGCGAACAGGAUUAGAUACCCUGGUAGUCCAUGCCGUAAACGAUGAAUGCUAGGUGUUGGAGGGUUUCCGCCCUUCAGUGCCGCAGCUAACGCAUUAAGCAUUCCGCCUGGGGAGUACGACCGCAAGGUUGAAACUCAAAGGAAUUGACGGGGGCCCGCACAAGCGGUGGAGCAUGUGGUUUAAUUCGAAGCAACGCGAAGAACCUUACCAGGUCUUGACAUCUUUUGAUCACCUGAGAGAUCAGGUUUCCCCUUCGGGGGCAAAAUGACAGGUGGUGCAUGGUUGUCGUCAGCUCGUGUCGUGAGAUGUUGGGUUAAGUCCCGCAACGAGCGCAACCCUUAUGACUAGUUGCCAGCAUUUAGUUGGGCACUCUAGUAAGACUGCCGGUGACAAACCGGAGGAAGGUGGGGAUGACGUCAAAUCAUCAUGCCCCUUAUGACCUGGGCUACACACGUGCUACAAUGGAUGGUACAACGAGUUGCGAGACCGCGAGGUCAAGCUAAUCUCUUAAAGCCAUUCUCAGUUCGGACUGUAGGCUGCAACUCGCCUACACGAAGUCGGAAUCGCUAGUAAUCGCGGAUCAGCACGCCGCGGUGAAUACGUUCCCGGGCCUUGUACACACCGCCCGUCACACCAUGAGAGUUUGUAACACCCGAAGCCGGUGGCGUAACCCUUUUAGGGAGCGAGCCGUCUAAGGUGGGACAAAUGAUUAGGG
This 1486-nucleotide ribosomal RNA is filed under the name Lacticaseibacillus casei. RNAcentral's name for it is "Lactobacillus casei 16S ribosomal RNA". It matches the Rfam family "Bacterial small subunit ribosomal RNA". The record is from RNAcentral. Lineage: Bacteria; Bacillati; Bacillota; Bacilli; Lactobacillales; Lactobacillaceae.